This 2058-nucleotide long non-coding RNA is filed under the name Homo sapiens (human). RNAcentral's name for it is "HSALNT0255876". The record is from RNAcentral. Lineage: Eukaryota; Metazoa; Chordata; Mammalia; Primates; Hominidae.
GCUAGAGAGUGCAGUGGCGUGAUCUCAGUUCAGUGUAACAUCUGCCUCCCAGGCUCAAGUGAUUCUCCUGUCUCAGCCUCCUGAGUAGCUGCGAUUACAGGCACACACCACGAUGCCCAGCUAAUUUUUGUAUUUUUAGUAGAGAUGGGGUUUCACCAUGUUGGCCAGGCUGGUCUUCAACUCCUGACCUCAAGUGAUCCACCUGCCUCAGCCUCCCAAAGUGCUGGGAUUACAGGUGUGAGCCACUGCACCUGGUCAGGUGCCCCCAUCUCUGCCACUGCCCUGUCUUCCCUGCUGUGAGUCACUUUGUGUGAUCUGACAAUCAAUGACUCCACCCUUCACUGAUGAGGAUGCAUUAUCUGAGACUGGGUAUGUCAUCUCCACACACAGAUAGGGUUUGGUCAAUGAUUGAUGCUGCAUCCUUUGGUGCCUGGAUUUUGACAGUGUUUUUUAAAUAAGGGUUUCUGAAGAGCAGCUUCAUUGGUACCUUAAGGGAAGUGACUGAAUUGUUCUAUGCCAUUGCAUAAUAUAUAAAAGUUACUUUUCCACGUUGCUGUUAACUUUACACUGCUGAGAUAAGCAGGCUGUUGACAAGUUAGCAUCAACAGCACAUUAUCAGAGAAAGAAAGGCUUGUAUUCAGACAAUUUACACAACUGUAUUAGCUUCCUAUGACUUAGUAAAACAAUUUGAAAAAAUAUAGCUUUAUAAGGCAUAAAUGAAUUUGUAUGUUUUAACUAAGGUACUUUCUAGUAAACAGUGCCCAUACAUUUUAGGAAAUAUUUUAGUCUUUAGAGAAUAAGUAAGGCAAAACCCGGUCCAAGAGUCUAGAGCUGACCUCCCCUCAUCACAAGGCCAAGUCUUUUUUUUUGAGAUGGAGUUUCACUCUUGUUGCCCAUGCAGGAGUGCAAUGGCGCCAUCUUGGCUCACUGCAACCUCUGCCCUCCCCCGAGAUUCAAGCGAUUCUCCUGUCUCAGCCUCCUGACUAGCUAGGAUUACAGGAGCAUGCAACCACACCUGGCUAAUUUUUGUAAUUUUAGUAGAGAUGGGGUUUCAUCAUAUUGGUCAGGCUGGUCUCAAAGUAUUGACCUCAGGUGAUCCGCCUGCCUCAGCCUCCCAAUGUGCUGUGAUUACAGGCGUGAGCCACAGUGUCUGGCCAAGGCCAAGGCUUUUACCAUUGGAGAGACACAAGUCACAUACCGGGCAUAUGAGACGAUGCUCCUCAGUGACCAUGAUGGAUCAGGACAAAAAAAGAGAAUAUUUUAUAACUAUAUUUCUAAAUGUGAUAAAAGAAAACAUAUUUCAAAUCAUAAACAUGACCAAAAUUUUUCUCUUCUUACUAAUGUGACUUGUAAUUCUCAUACAUCCCACAGUCAUUUAUGACUUGUGGUCAUAUUUACCACUACAGUAUAUUACACCCUUGCUGACAGCAGGUAUGGCACUGGUGGUUUUGGGGAAGAAGGUACUCAGAGAUACAUGAGAUAACUUUUGGUAUUAUGAGUGAAAGAAAAAUUAGGGUUGAGGCUGGGCGCAGUGGCUCAUGUCUGUAAAUCCAGCACUUUGAGAGGCCGAGGCAGGAGGAUCACAAGGUCCAGAGUUCGAGACCAGCCUGGCCAAUAUGGUGAAACCCCGUCUCUACUAAAUAAUACACAUAAUUAGCUGGGUGAAGUGGUGCAUGCCUGUAGUCCCAGCUACUCAAAAGGCUGAAGAAGGAGAAUUGUUCAAACCUGGGAAGCAGAGAUUGCAGUGAGCCAAGAUCACACCACUGCACUCCAGCCUGGGCAACAGAGUGAGGCUCUUUCUAAAAAAAAAAAAAAAAAAAAAAGAAAAAGAAAAAGCAAAAGGAAAAAAAAAGAAAAAUUACAGUUGAAAUAAAAAUUAAAGUACAUAAGCAUGAAAAGUAAAGUUUACAUGAGGAAAAAUAUGCCUGGCAUUUAAUCCAGGUAAUGCUGAUUCACAAUAUCCAAAUAAUAACAAUGUAACAUUAUAAGCUUGAUCUAAUACAUGACACCAAUGGAUAUUUUAUUAUAGCUUCUUAAUUAUUUAAAAAGAAUAACAUU